GAUGAACGCUGGCGGCGCGCCUAACACAUGCAAGUCGAACGGCACCCCUCCUCGGAGGGAAGCGAGUGGCGAACGGCUGAGUAACACGUGGAGAACCUGCCCCCUCCCCCGGGAUAGCCGCCCGAAAGGACGGGUAAUACCGGAUACCCCGGGGUGCCGCAUGGCACCCCGGCUAAAGCCCCGACGGGGGGGGAUGGCUCCGCGGCCCAUCAGGUAGACGGCGGGGUGGCGUCCCACCGUGCCGACAACGGGUAGCCGGGUUGAGGGACCGACCGGCCAGAUUGGGACUGAGACACGGCCCAGACUCCGACGGGAGGCAGCAGUGGGGAAUCUUGCGCAAUGGGGGGAACCCUGACGAAGCGACGCCGCGGGAGGGACGGAGGCCUUCGGGUCGUAAACCGCUUUCAGGAGGGAAGAGGCAAGACUGUACCUGCAGAAGAAGCCCCGGCUAACUACGUG
Molecule: ribosomal RNA, 459 nt
Filed under: uncultured bacterium
Lineage: Bacteria
Description: partial 16S ribosomal RNA
Rfam family: Bacterial small subunit ribosomal RNA
Source: RNAcentral